AUUGAACGCUGGCGGCAGGCCUAACACAUGCAAGUCGAGCGGAUGAAGGGAGCUUGCUCCUGGAUUCAGCGGCGGACGGGUGAGUAAUGCCUAGGAAUCUGCCUGGUAGUGGGGGAUAACGUCCGGAAACGGGCGCUAAUACCGCAUACGUCCUGAGGGAGAAAGUGGGGGAUCUUCGGACCUCACGCUAUCAGAUGAGCCUAGGUCGGAUUAGCUAGUUGGUGGGGUAAAGGCCUACCAAGGCGACGAUCCGUAACUGGUCUGAGAGGAUGAUCAGUCACACUGGAACUAAGACACGGUCCAGACUCCUACGGGAGGCAGCAGUGGGGAAUAUUGGACAUUUGGCGAAAGCCUGAUCCAGCCAAGCCUCGUGUGUGAAGAAGGUCUUCGGAUUGUAAAGCACUUUAAGUUGGGAGGAAGGGCAGUAAGUUAAUACCUUGCUGUUUUGACGUUACCAACAGAAUAAGCACCGGCUAACUUCGUG
Molecule: ribosomal RNA, 484 nt
Filed under: uncultured bacterium
Lineage: Bacteria
Description: partial 16S ribosomal RNA
Rfam family: Bacterial small subunit ribosomal RNA
Source: RNAcentral